CUUCUUCCUCCUCCCCCCCCGGGGGCCGGGCCGGGGGUCUCCAAGGGGAGGGCGGACGGCCGAGCAGGGGGACCAGGCUGGGGUCACACGACGGGGGCGGCCCUGGGCCCUGGGCAGUAGCUGGGCAUCUUGGCACCCCCGUGCUGAACGGAGAAGGAGGGCAGCGGGAGAGAGAGUGGGAGGCAGUUACAGCCCCGAGGUGAGAAGUGGCUGAGAAUCCGCGUCAGGAGUCCCAGGUCCGAGAUGGAGUUGGCUCCAAGCUGGGGCAGCGGGGACUGCUCGAGAUGCUGCGCCGCGCGCAGAGGGACGUCCGGACUCCUGGCUCGCGUCGAGCUCGACAAGGACCGGAGUUGCGGACGAGGCGGGACGGCGAGGUGUCCUUGCGGGCGGCGCCUCCCCGGAGCUGGCAAUGCCCGGGCGCGGCGCUCGCAGAUUCUGCCUAAGCGGAGCCCAGCGGCACACGAGGCGAGGCAGCUAGGGCGGCUCGGCAGGGGUCCCGGCGUGGAAACCAAGCGGGCACCCUUUCCUCACGGCAGACUGGGAGCGACUGGGAGCUGUCCCGCUGGAUGUUCCUGCAGUCUAAACACUAGGAGAGAUGAGGACCACUACACCUCUACUUCGGGGAGGGAAAAGCAACCUUGA
RNAcentral lists this long non-coding RNA (642 nucleotides) under Sus scrofa (pig). RNAcentral's name for it is "lncRNA (ENSSSCG00025019202.1)". The record is from RNAcentral. Lineage: Eukaryota; Metazoa; Chordata; Mammalia; Artiodactyla; Suidae.